UACGUAGGUGGCAAGCGUUGUCCGGAUUUACUGGGCGUAAAGGGAGCGUAGGCGGACUUUUAAGUGAGAUGUGAAAUACCCGGGCUCAACUUGGGUGCUGCAUUUCAAACUGGAAGUCUAGAGUGCAGGAGAGGAGAAUGGAAUUCCUAGUGUAGCGGUGAAAUGCGUAGAUAUUAGGAAGAACACCAGUGGCGAAGGCGACUUACUGGACUGAAACUGACGCUGAGGCUCGAAAGCGUGGGGAGCAAACAGGAUUAGAUACCCUGGUA
This 269-nucleotide ribosomal RNA is filed under the name uncultured prokaryote. Its description in RNAcentral is "partial 16S ribosomal RNA". It matches the Rfam family "Bacterial small subunit ribosomal RNA", at positions 524 to 792 of the family's 1533-position model. The record is from RNAcentral.